UACGUAGGGGGCUAGCGUUGUCCGGAUUUAUUGGGCGUAAAGGGCGCGUAGGCGGCGUGUUAAGUCACUUGUGAAAUCUCUAAGCUUAACUUAGAACGGUCAAGUGAUACUGAUGUGCUAGAGUGCAGAAGGGGCAACCGGAAUUCUUGGUGUAGCGGUGAAAUGCGUAGAUAUCAAGAGGAACACCUGAGGUGAAGACGGGUUGCUGGGCUGACACUGACGCUGAGGCGCGAAAGCUAGGGGAGCGAACGGG
This 253-nucleotide ribosomal RNA is filed under the name uncultured bacterium. RNAcentral's name for it is "partial 16S ribosomal RNA". It matches the Rfam family "Bacterial small subunit ribosomal RNA", at positions 524 to 776 of the family's 1533-position model. The record is from RNAcentral.